AUUACUAAAACAAAAGUAUCUGAUACUGUACAAAGUUCAAAAGAAGAUAAUUUCUUUUGACUCAAAAAGAUUCGACGCGCCCAUUCGACCCUCCACGCGUCUCCAACAUCAGUUACCUGAAAAUGUUAAAUAAGGGAUAAGCAUACAAAGUAUACUUAGUGUGGGAUGUCAUGCAAUAAUUGUCCACGUUAAUAAAACGGUAACACAUACGGUCACUUCAUAUAUAUCCUCAAUAUUCGCACUGUGGCAACCCAAGGACUAUUAAAGUCCCGGACCCUAUUUACGGGCCCCUAGCGACAUCCUCAAAAUAAAUAUCAAAUCGCAUUGUGGCAAUCCAAGGACGGUGAAGUCAUGGACCCUAUUUACGGGCCCCUAGCGAUAUCCUCAAAAUAUACGUCAUAACACAUAUGGUAAACACAUAUUAUUAAAAUGGACAAGAAUUAACCACAGCAUGUACUGAAAUAAAUCCCACACCUUAACUUGACUUGCAAAUUUAACUUCAGUAAUUCAAAAUCACAGUCCACGUUCUAGUCGCGCCGCACCUAGUCAGAUAACAUUCAAAUAACCAAAAUAAG
Molecule: long non-coding RNA, 575 nt
Filed under: Salvia miltiorrhiza (redroot sage)
Lineage: Eukaryota; Viridiplantae; Streptophyta; Magnoliopsida; Lamiales; Lamiaceae
Description: long non-coding RNA (SMIL_LNC002881)
Source: RNAcentral